GUGCCAGCAGCCGCGGUAAUACGUAGGUGGCAAGCGUUGUCCGGAAUUAUUGGGUGUAAAGCGCGCGCAGGCGGUCCUUUAAGUCUGAUGUGAAAGCCCACGGCUCAACCGUGGAGGGUCAUUGGAAACUGGGGGACUUGAGUGCAGAAGAGAAGAGUGGAAUUCCACGUGUAGCGGUGAAAUGCGUAGAGAUGUGGAGGAACACCAGUGGCGAAGGCGACUCUUUGGUCUGUAACUGACGCUGAGGCGCGAAAGCGUGGGGAGCAAACAGGAUUAGAAACCCCUGUAGUCC
Molecule: ribosomal RNA, 292 nt
Filed under: uncultured prokaryote
Description: partial 16S ribosomal RNA
Rfam family: Bacterial small subunit ribosomal RNA
Source: RNAcentral